GCUAAAAUCCGUCUAAAUGGAAAAGAGAGAGAGUGAGAGAAGAAAAACCCUUAAACAAUGAGUAAUAGAUAAUACUCAGUACACCAGCGAGACCUCAGAACAGCUCCCAGGAUGGUAGGUGUGUUAAGAGCACUGUUACCAAUGCGGAUACCAACCAUUAGCAAUGACACCAAAGUGUGUAAAGCAACACAGCCCUCUGAAGACCAGGAAUGAAGAAGACAAUAUAGACAAAGGAGUGUUUAUCUUCCAGAGAAGUCCUAGACAACACAGUCCUAUGUCCUGGCUUACCCCUAACAGCUCCCUUUGGGCACAGAAGAUAGAAAGAGAUGCUCUGUGGUGCUGCUGCAUCUGCAGAAGUGCUUUACCUCCAGCCUUACAGGUCCCCAUAAUACACUGCAGGAACCCACGGCAUGAAAUGGGCAACACAAAAGGCUCUUGUGUCUUGGUGCUCAACACACUCAGCCUUUACCUCCCAGAGGGCACCAGUGGCAAUGGCCCGACAUAUUACGGUGACUGUCGGUUGUUAUCCAACUUCUUCUAUGUGUGCUGAGUCCAGUGAGAAAAGAAGUCAGCAGCCACAGUUCUCACUGAUUUGCAUCCUCUCUCUUCAGCUCUUACCUAUACCCUUCUACCAUCUUUCUUCUCUUAGUAACUGUGAAUUUACUACCCACAGUGUUUUAGACUUUCCUAGGAUGCACAGCGAUCAAGAACUCCUAAAUAGAUCUUAAACCAAACUCAAGAAAAACAGACAACAAAACGUCAACAAAUAGACCAGAUAUCACAUAAAUAUGAACAUGCUAGAGGACAGCAGAAGAGCAUCACACGACGUUUUAUUUUGUCUCGAAUAAAAUUGGAGCCUCAAUGGCAUAAAACUGCAAA
Molecule: long non-coding RNA, 879 nt
Organism: Rattus rattus (black rat)
Lineage: Eukaryota; Metazoa; Chordata; Mammalia; Rodentia; Muridae
Exons: 2
Source: RefSeq, a predicted model, not a curated record